RNAcentral lists this non-coding RNA (24 nucleotides) under Arabidopsis thaliana (thale cress). The record is from RNAcentral. Lineage: Eukaryota; Viridiplantae; Streptophyta; Magnoliopsida; Brassicales; Brassicaceae.
UGGAAUGGGUGACUCGCCAUGCCU